This 912-nucleotide ribosomal RNA is filed under the name Candidatus Phytoplasma asteris-related phytoplasma. Its description in RNAcentral is "bacterial SSU rRNA". It matches the Rfam family "Bacterial small subunit ribosomal RNA", at positions 209 to 1131 of the family's 1533-position model. The record is from RNAcentral. Lineage: Bacteria; Bacillati; Mycoplasmatota; Mollicutes; Acholeplasmatales; Acholeplasmataceae.
AUAGGUAUGCUUAGGGAGGAGCUUGCGUCACAUUAGUUAGUUGGUGGGGUAAAGGCCUACCAAGACUAUGAUGUGUAGCCGGGCUGAGAGGUUGAACGGCCACAUUGGGACUGAGACACGGCCCAAACUCCUACGGGAGGCAGCAGUAGGGAAUUUUCGGCAAUGGAGGAAACUCUGACCGAGCAACGCCGCGUGAACGAUGAAGUAUUUCGGUACGUAAAGUUCUUUUAUUAGGGAAGAAUAAAUGAUGGAAAAAUCAUUCUGACGGUACCUAAUGAAUAAGCCCCGGCUAACUAUGUGCCAGCAGCCGCGGUAAUACAUAGGGGGCAAGCGUUAUCCGGAAUUAUUGGGCGUAAAGGGUGCGUAGGCUGUUAAAUAAGUUUAUGGUCUAAGUGCAAUGCUCAACAUUGUGAUGCUAUAAAAACUGUUUAGCUAGAGUAAGAUAGAGGCAAGUGGAAUUCCAUGUGUAGUGGUAAAAUGCGUAAAUAUAUGGAGGAACACCAGUAGCGAAGGCGGCUUGCUGGGUCUUUACUGACGCUGAGGCACGAAAGCGUGGGGAGCAAACAGGAUUAGAUACCCUGGUAGUCCACGCCGUAAACGAUGAGUACUAAACGUUGGGUAAAACCAGUGUUGAAGUUAACACAUUAAGUACUCCGCCUGAGUAGUACGUACGCAAGUAUGAAACUUAAAGGAAUUGACGGGACUCCGCACAAGCGGUGGAUCAUGUUGUUUAAUUCGAANGUACCCGAAAAACCUCACCNGNCUUGACAUGCUUCUGCAAAGCUGUANAAACACAGUGGAGGUUAUCAGUUGCACAGGUGGUGCAUGGUUGUCGUCAGCUCGUGUCGUGAGAUGUUGGGUUAAGUCCCGCAACGAGCGCAACCNNUAUUGNUANUUGCCANCACGUAAUGG